Molecule: long non-coding RNA, 732 nt
Filed under: Mus pahari (shrew mouse)
Lineage: Eukaryota; Metazoa; Chordata; Mammalia; Rodentia; Muridae
Description: lncRNA (MGP_PahariEiJ_G0005257.1)
Source: RNAcentral
AAUGAUGCAAUGUUGAGGGGCAGCACACUCUUGCAGGCCCCUGUCCAACACCUCACAGGGAGUUGUCAUAUACCUGGGAUUGAGGCUUUUCUUUAAUCUAAUCUAUAAGUUUCUGGGAACACUGUCUGUUCAAGAGUAAAGUGAUUUGUUUACGGAAGAAAAAAACCCGAGUCAGAUCUGUUCAUCAGAAAAGACAAAAACGAAGAAUUAGCUUACCUGAUAGACUAAGGGUGAUGAAUACAUCAGUCACUGAAAGGAGGUGGAGCGGCUGCCCUUCCUCUUGCAGCCUUCUGCUUCUAACCCAUCCUCCCGCUCCUGAAGCACAUCCUCCCUGCUUUUUCUAUACCUUCAGAUAGAUGGUUCAAGGGAAAAGGCAACUGGAGUUCGUUCGAGCAAUAACUUUAACUUUAUGUACAACUCAAACUCAUAGAAGUCUGGAUGAAGAUUUCGCAAGGCUUUCCCCGUCGAAUGAAGAGCACAAGUUUACCUUUAACAACCAUCCGAAACUCUUGGGGAGAAGUUAACAGCCAAACAGAAACACCUCAUGCGUGUCUCCUUCUCCCCAUGCUAUGAGGCGCCAUGCUAUGAGGAGCUCUCCGGAGAACUCUGCACCCUGCCAGAAAGCACUCCAUUAUGCUGUGAUUUUAGGGGGAGUUCUGGACAAAUGGACCUGCGUGACCUUGACCUAACUAAAAGAGAACAAAGAAAUAGACUGUACUGGAGCCCUGGCUG